RNAcentral lists this ribosomal RNA (108 nucleotides) under Paenibacillus sp. LC231. RNAcentral's name for it is "partial 16S ribosomal RNA". It matches the Rfam family "Bacterial small subunit ribosomal RNA", at positions 1 to 99 of the family's 1533-position model. Lineage: Bacteria; Bacillati; Bacillota; Bacilli; Caryophanales; Paenibacillaceae. The record is from RNAcentral.
CUUUAUUGGAGAGUUUGAUCCUGGCUCAGGACGAACGCUGGCGGCGUGCCUAAUACAUGCAAGUCGAGCGGACCUGAUGGAGUGCUUGCACUCCUGAUGGUUAGCGGC